This 253-nucleotide ribosomal RNA is filed under the name uncultured bacterium. RNAcentral describes it as "partial 16S ribosomal RNA". It matches the Rfam family "Bacterial small subunit ribosomal RNA", at positions 524 to 776 of the family's 1533-position model. The record is from RNAcentral.
GACGUAGGAAGCAAGCGUUGUCCGGAAUUACUGGGCGUAAAGAGCUCGUAGGCGGGACCGUAAGUCCGAGAGGAAAUCUCAAGGCUCAACUUUGGGGCUUUCUUGGAUACUGCGGUUCUUGAGGAUGUCAGAGGAUAGUAGAAUUCCCGGUGUAGCGGUGAAAUGCGUAGAUAUCGGGAGGAAUACCAGUGGCGAAGGCGACUGUCUGGGACAUUCCUGACGCUGAGGAGCGAAAGCGUGGGGAGCAAACGGG